CUGCAGUAUUUAUUUUAUUUUUAUAUUAUUUAUUUAUUCUUUGUUUUUGGAGUGUGGGUUUUGUUUUGUUUUUUGAUUUUUUUAUUUUGUUCUACUCAGUUUUAUUCUUAUUGCUCAGGCUUGAGUGCAAUGGCCUGUUCUCACCUAAUUCAACCUCCGCCUCUUGGGUUCGGGUAAUGAUGGUUCCACGUCGGCAGCCCUCGGCCUCUUGGGUUUGCGUGGCAGUUCCACGUCACCGACCCUCCGCCUCUUGGGUUCGGGUGAUGAUGGUUCAAUGUCAGCUGCCCUCCGCCUCUUGGGUUUGCGAGGCGGUUCCGCGUCAGCGGCGCUCCGCCUCUCGGGUUUCGGCGACGGCUGCGCGUCAGCAGUGGCGCUCCGCCUCUCGGGUUUCGGCGACGGCUGCGCAUCAGCGGCGCUCCGCCUCUCGGGUUUCGGCGACAGCUGCGCGUCAGCGGCGCUCCGCCUCUCGGGUUUCGAUGAUGGCUGCGUGUCAGCGGCGCUCCGCCUCUCGGGUUCCGGUGGUGAUUCCAGGUCAGCGGCGCUCCGCCUCUCGGGUUUCGGCGACGGCUGCGCAUCAGCGGCGCUCCGCCUCUCGGGUUUCGGCGACAGCUGCGCGUCAGCGGCGCUCCGCCUCUCGGGUUUCGAUGAUGGCUGCGUGUCAGCGGCGCUCCGCCUCUCGGGUUCCGGUGGUGAUUCCAGGUCAGCGGCGCUCCGCCUCUCGGGUUUCGGCGACGGCUGCGCGUCAGCGGCGCUCCGCCUCUCAGGUUUCGGCGACGGCUGCGAGUCAGCGGCGCUCCGCCUCUCGGGUUUCAAUGACGGCUGCGCGUCAGCGGCCCUCCGCCUCUCGGGUUUCGGCGACGGCUGCGAGUCAGCGGCGCUCCGCCUCUCGGGUUUCGGUGGUGAUUCCAGGUCAGCGGCGCUCCGCCUCUCGGGUUUUGGUGAUGGCUGCGUGUCAGCGGCGCUCCGCCUCUCGGGUUUCGGUGGUGAUUCCAGGUCAGCGGCGCUCCACCGCUCAGGUUUCGGUGAUGGCUGCGUGUCAGCGGCGCUCCGCCUCUCGGGUUUCGGUGGUGAUUCCAGGUCAGCGGCGCUCCGCCUCUCGGGUUUCGGCGACAGCUGCGCGUCAACGGCGCUCCGCCUCUCGGGUUUCGGUGAUGGCUGCGUGUCAGCGGCGCUCCACCGCUCAGGUUUCGGUGAUGGCUGCGUGUCAGCGGCGCUCCGCCUCUCGGGUUUCGGUGGUGAUUCCAGGUCAGCGGCGCUCCGCCUCUCGGGUUUCGGCGACGGCUGCGCGUCAGCGGCGCUCCGCCUCUCGGGUUUCGGUGAUGCUUGCGCGUCAGCGGCGCUCCGCCUCUCGGGUUUCGGCGACGGCUGCGCGUCAACGGUGCUCCGCCUCUCGGGUUUCGGCGACGGCUGCGCCUCAGCGGCGCUCCGCCUCUCGGGUUUCGGCGACGGCUGCGCGUCAGCGGCGCUCCGCCUCUCGGGUUUCGGUGGUGAUUCCAGGUCAGCGGCGCUCCGCCUCUCAGGUAUCGGUGAUGGCUGCGUGUCAGCGGCGCUCCGCCUCUCAGGUGUCGGUGAUGGCUGCGUGUCAGCGGCGCUCCGCCUCUCGGGUUUCGGUGGUGAUUCCAGGUCAGCGGCGCUCCGCCCCUCGGGUUUCGGCGACGGCUGCGCGUCAGCGGCGCUCCGCCCCUCGGGUUUCGGCGACGGCUGCGCCUCAGCGGCGCUCCGCCCCUCGGGUUUCGGCGACGGCUGCGCGUCAGCGGCGCUCCGCCCCUCGGGUUUCGGCGACGGCUGCGCCUCAGCGGCGCUCCGCCCCUCGGGUUUCGGCGACGGCUGCGCCUCAGCGGCGCUCCGCCCCUCGGGUUUCGGCGACGGCUGCGCGUCAGCGGCGCUCCGCCUCUCGGGUUUCGGUGGUGAUUCCAGGUCAGCGGCCCUCCACCUCUCGGGUUUCGGUGAUGGCUGCGCGUCAGCGGCGCUCCGCCUCUCAGGUUUCGGUGAUGGCUGCGCCUCAGCGGCGCUCCGCCUCUCGGGUUUCGGUGAUGGUUGCGCGUCAGCGGCGCUCCGCCUCUCGGGUUUCGGUGGUGAUUCCAGGUCAGCGGCCCUCCGCCUCUCGGGUUUCGGUGAUGGUUGCACGUCAGCGGCGCUCCACCUCUCGGGUUUCGGUGGUGAUUCCAGGUCAGCGGCCCUCCGCCUCUCGGGUUUCGGUGAUGGUUGCGCGUCAGCGGCGCUCCGCCUCUCAGGUUUCAGUGAUGGCUGUGUGUCAGCAGCGCUCCGCCUCUCGGGUUUCAGUGAUGGCUGCGCGUCAGCGGCGCUCCGCCUCUCGGGUUUCGGUGGUGAUUCCAGGUCGGUGGCCCUCCGCCUCUCGGGUUUCGGUGAUGGUUGCGCGUCAGCGGCGCUCCGCCUCUCGGGUUUCGGUGAUGGCUGCGCGUCAGCGGCGCUCCGCCUCUCAGGUUUCGGUGAUGACUGCGCGCCAGCGGCGCUCCGCCUCUUGGGUUUCGGUGAUGGCUGCGCGUCAGCGGCGCUCCGCCUCUUGGGUUUCCGUGGCGGUUCCGCGUGAGCGACCCUCCGCCUCUUGGGUUCAGGUGAUGCUGGUUCCGCGUGAGCGACCCUCCGACUCUUGGGAUCAGGUGAUGCUGGUUCCGCGUCAGCGGCCCUCCGCUUCUUAAGUGUGCGGGGUGGUUCCGCGUCAGCGGCGCUCCGCCUCUCGGG
Molecule: long non-coding RNA, 2703 nt
Filed under: Gorilla gorilla gorilla (western lowland gorilla)
Lineage: Eukaryota; Metazoa; Chordata; Mammalia; Primates; Hominidae
Description: lncRNA (ENSGGOG00000044440.1)
Source: RNAcentral